RNAcentral lists this ribosomal RNA (491 nucleotides) under uncultured bacterium. RNAcentral describes it as "partial 16S ribosomal RNA". It matches the Rfam family "Bacterial small subunit ribosomal RNA", at positions 29 to 506 of the family's 1533-position model. The record is from RNAcentral.
AGUGAACGCUGGCGGUAGGCCUAACACAUGCAAGUCGAACGGCAGCACAGUAAGAGCUUGCUCUUACGGGUGGCGAGUGGCGGACGGGUGAGGAAUACAUCGGAAUCUACUUUUUCGUGGGGGAUAAGGUAGGGAAACUUACGCUAAUACCGCAUACAACCUACGGGUGAAAGCAGGGGAUCUUCGGACCUUGCGCGAUUGAAUGAGCCGAUGUCGGAUUAGCUAGUUGGCGGGGUAAAGGCCCACCAAGGCGACGAUCCGUAGCUGGUCUGAGAGGAUGAUCAGCCACACUGGAACUGAGACACGGUCCAGACUCCUACGGGAGGCAGCAGUGGGGAAUAUUGGACAAUGGGCGCAAGCCUGAUCCAGCCAUACCGCGUGGGUGAAGAAGGCCUUCGGGUUGUAAAGCCCUUUUGUUGGGAAAGAAAAGCAGCAGGUUAAUACCCCGCUGUUCUGACGGUACCCAAAGAAUAAGCACCGGCUAACUUCGU